GGUGGCUCAGUGGUAGAGUGCUUGCCUUGCAUGCAUGAGGUCCUGGGUUCGAUUCCUCAGAACCA
RNAcentral lists this transfer RNA (65 nucleotides) under Dipodomys ordii (Ord's kangaroo rat). It matches the Rfam family "tRNA". From Rfam's summary of the family: Transfer RNA (tRNA) molecules are approximately 80 nucleotides in length. Their secondary structure includes four short double-helical elements and three loops (D, anti-codon, and T loops). The record is from Rfam by way of RNAcentral. Lineage: Eukaryota; Metazoa; Chordata; Mammalia; Rodentia; Heteromyidae.